CGUUGGAUUAGCUAGUUGGUAGGGUAAAGGCUUACCAAGGCGACGAUCCAUACCUGGUUUGAGAGAAUGGCCACCCACACUGGGACUGAGACACGGCCCAGACUCCUACGGGAGGCAGUGGGGAAUAUUGGACAAUGGGGGGAACCCUGAUCCAGCAAUGCCACGUGUGUGAAGAAGGCCUUAGGGUUGUAAAGCACUUUCAGCGGGGAGGAAGGUAAGCUAAUUAAUACUUGGCUUAAUUGACGUUACCUGCAGAAGAAGCACCGGCUAACUCCGUGCCAGCAGCCGCGGUAAUACGGAGGGUGCGAGCGUUAAUCGGAAUUACUGGGCGUAAAGGGCGCGUAGGCGGAAGAUUAAGUUGGAUGUGAAAUCCCAGGGCUCAACCUUGGAACUGCAUCCGAAACUGG
RNAcentral lists this ribosomal RNA (407 nucleotides) under uncultured Piscirickettsia sp. Yaquina Bay. Its description in RNAcentral is "bacterial SSU rRNA". It matches the Rfam family "Bacterial small subunit ribosomal RNA", at positions 234 to 636 of the family's 1533-position model. Lineage: Bacteria; Pseudomonadati; Pseudomonadota; Gammaproteobacteria; Thiotrichales; Piscirickettsiaceae. The record is from RNAcentral.